GAUGAACGCUGACAGAAUGCUUAACACAUGCAAGUCGAUUCAAGUUACCUUCGGGUAAUGAGGAUGGCGGACGGGUGAGUAACGCGUAAGGAACUUGCCUCUUGGUCUGGGACAACUGUUGGAAACGACAGCUAAUACCGGAUAUUAUGAGAUUCUCGCAUGGGAAACUUAUGAAAGCUAUAUGCGCCAAGAGAGAGCCUUGCGUUCCAUUAGCUAGUUGGUGGGGUAAUGGCCCACCAAGGCGACGAUGGAUAGCCGGCCUGAGAGGGUGAACGGCCACAAGGGGACUGAGACACGGCCCUUACUCCUACGGGAGGCAGCAGUGGGGAAUAUUGGACAAUGGGCCACAAGCCUGAUCCAGCAAUUCUGUGUGCACGAUGAAGGUCUUCGGAUUGUAAAGUGCUUUCAGUUGGGAAGAAGAAAGUGACGGUACCAACAGAAGAAGCGACGGCUAAAUACGUGCCAGCAGCCGCGGUAAUACGUAUGUCGCAAGCGUUAUCCGGAUUUAUUGGGCGUAAAGCGCGUCUAGGCGGAAAAAUAAGUCUGAUGUUAAAAUGCGGGGCUCAACUCCGUAUUGCGUUGGAAACUGUUUUUCUAGAGUACUGGAGAGGUGGGCGGAACUACAAGUGUAGAGGUGAAAUUCGUAGAUAUUUGUAGGAAUGCCGAUGGAGAAGUCAGCUCACUGGACAGAUACUGACGCUAAAGCGCGAAAGCNUGGGGAGCAAACAGGAUUAGAUA
This 738-nucleotide ribosomal RNA is filed under the name uncultured prokaryote. RNAcentral describes it as "bacterial SSU rRNA". It matches the Rfam family "Bacterial small subunit ribosomal RNA", at positions 28 to 784 of the family's 1533-position model. The record is from RNAcentral.